UCCGCACAACACCAUGGGGGAAACAGAGGGUUAAUACAUGAACAAUAAUUAGGGGAAUGAAAAACAGGUGUGUAGAAACAAAGACAAAAACAAAUGGAAAAUGAAAAGUGGAUCGGCGAUGGCUAGUAGACCGAACAAGGAGAGGAACCGACUUCAGCUGAAGUAGUGACAGUGGGUCUAAUCCUGAAUGCUGAUUGGUUAAAAGCUCAUUCCAGCUGGUGUCUAUUCCGCUAAAUCUAUGACGUUAAAAUGCCUAUUUAAUCUGUUCCAUUUGACUGUGCAAGCCACUGUCUCAUCAGCCCAGGCAGAUACCUUGUCACUGAAGAUUUCCUUCAAAACAUUUGCCUACAGUUACUGUGUAGGGCACUGCAAGGUUGGGUGACCAGGGCCAUCUGGGACUGCCUCCUGGAGGAAUUCAGCCGUGUGAAAGGGAAAGGGGGAUACCUAGUCAGUUGUACAACUGAAUGCCUUCAACUGAAAUGUGUCUUCCUCAUUUAACCCAACCCCUCUGAAUCAGAGAGGUGCGGGGGGCUGCCUUAAUCGACAUCCAAUUCUUUGGCGCCUGGGAACAUAACUUCAUGAGGAUGGACACGAGGAACAGGAGGGGAUCUGCAGCUCACAGGAUGUUUCAAGGAUGGGGUCCAACAACGCAGCAAGAGAGGCCAUCUGUAUGCGGGAGAGCUUCACCUCCUACCUCUUCAAAGAGGGUGCUGUUCCCUGGCAACACCAUGACUACACUAUGCACAACCAAAGCCUCUUUUAAGAGCCAUCCACAUUGCAAUAAGAGUAUUCUUACAUUUACUUAGAUAUGCCGACUGCAGUUAUUCAAUUCCCUGUGUCUCUCCCUUUGAUUUCUACUUCUCAGGUGAGGGUGUUGUUUAGGUAAGGGUGUGAUGUCUGUACAACAACAAAACAGGCAAUUUAAGUCACCCAUAUUGAAAAAAUGUAGAACAAUUACAAACCCUAUAACCCACACUUAAACACAUGUAUCAAUCUGAUUGAUGGAUUGUGUUGUGCAGUAAACAGGCUCAGGUGUAAAACUGUGGCUCCUUCCACCUUCAAAUAAUAGGCAAGAGGGCAAACCAUGGAGAAUAGUAAGACACUUCAUUAUUUCUAUAACUCCACUAUUGUUUGUCCUCGUGUGUUUGUGCAUGUUUUUCAGUAUAAAGUACUCUGCGGCCACUUAAGUGUGGACACCAGGUGAGGCCAUACACAGAUUCCUGUUGAACACUGUCUCUUUAACUAACUUAUUUUCUCAAUGGUCUCUCUCCUUCACUUCAACCCUCUCACCCCUUCUCCCUAAAUCCUCUAGGUUAUAGUAUAUCAGCUGUGUCAGGGAACCCCUCCCGCAUCUGAACUGGCUACAUAGAGGGAACAGCAUGAUCAGAGGUCACUUGGUCGGGUCAACAGGAAGUAUUAUUAAAGAGAUGCUUUACAUUGAAAUACAGAUAGAUGUGCAGUAGUCCCAGAGUUAAUGAUUCAAGGUCAGUUUUUCAUUUCACCUCCUGAUGAUUAUGAUGACUGACAGUGUUAGAAUAAAGAAAGAACACAAGGCUUAAACAUGCUCUCUCUUUCUCCAUCUGUCUCUCAUCUGCAGGCAUGUUUUGAUGUGAGAGAGUAUCCCAACCCCCAGUCCCGUCAUCACCACCUCACCCGCUCUUAAGAUAACCUUCAGGCCGAUUGGGAGCCCAAGGCUGGCUAGGAGACACCACCAGAGACACUGUCAUUUUGAUGAACUGAGAGAAUAUUAAUUCUAGAACUGUGAUUCAUUAAUCAUAUGGUGCCUUCUCUGCUCCUAUGUUCUUACCUCUUUCCCUUUCUGUCUUUUACACCUCUCUCAUUACCUCUUUCUCCCCCUGUUUUUAUAAUGCAGAUGUGCAUUGAACUACAGAUUGAACUUGUAUUUAUAAUAUUACAAUUAUAAUAUGUAUUAUGUAUUUAUAACACUUGGAAAAUAAACUUCUUUCAAUAAAGCGUUUCACAUUC
Oncorhynchus keta (chum salmon) is the source of this 1986-nucleotide long non-coding RNA. RefSeq lists it as uncharacterized. Lineage: Eukaryota; Metazoa; Chordata; Actinopteri; Salmoniformes; Salmonidae. The transcript has 2 exons. The record is from RefSeq and is a predicted model, not a curated record.